This 13204-nucleotide long non-coding RNA is filed under the name Nicotiana tabacum (common tobacco). Its description in RNAcentral is "long non-coding RNA (NTAB_LNC013013)". The record is from RNAcentral. Lineage: Eukaryota; Viridiplantae; Streptophyta; Magnoliopsida; Solanales; Solanaceae.
CAAUACCCAAUACCCAUUAAGCUAAUCUUAGGGACCCUUCUAGACUCUUCUUUGGAAGAAAAAUAAAUAAAAAGACCCUAAGGACCUAAGAGCAAAUACACAAAAUAUAAAUCUAGACUCUAGGACCUAGAUAUAUAGGCUAACGCCUAAUGAACUGAAGGACAGAUAUAGGAGGACCGCUUAAAAACCUAAAGAAAAGAUACACUCUGCAAAAGCUGCAGCGCCAUACAUAUACAGACCCACCCCCUCUUUUCAUCGUCUUCUUCGACGCCAACAACCCCAAAGGACCUAUCGUUUCUUCUUCUUUUGAAUCAGAGAAUCAAGACCUCCAUUAGAAUACACCAUCGAAGACCUCUUGAUCUUCAACUUCUUCUGCAGCAGCACAAACCAAAAGCAACGACCCCUAAGUUGUUCCACUUCUGUCUCGAAGCAGCAGGACCUGCAACCUUCCAACGAUCCCUCCCCACCAUGAACUGAUCUUCCUCAAUCGCUGAACACCCAGAAACACCUCCUCCAUCGAUACUCCUCUUCUUCAACUUCAUAGAGUCCAUUUUGAAGUUCGUUCGUUGAGUUGUUCGGGGUCGAGCGCUGGAGACGUUCGAGGUCGUCGGGUCCCUGUUCCGUUUGUGGUCAUUUUCUGGUGCAUUUCCGGUCCCUUACUGUGUUUUUGUGUGGUUGAAAGUAUAAUAAGAGUAGUAGAGGUUAAAUUCUAGGAACUGAGUUGGUAAUUGUAGGAGAUUUGGUGUUUUUGCUUAUUGUGUGAUGCUCUAUUCUGUCGAAUGGUGUUCUAAAUUUGGUGUUUGUCGAUUUUGCUAUUAGAAUUUGCUAGUGCUCAAGUUGUCGCAAAUCUGUUAACCAUGAAAUUCACGUCUCUGAUUCGUUGAAAUGUUUGAGCUGCUGCAGUUUUGUCACAAAUUCUCGAUUACGGUGAAUAUGUGUCCAAUUUCCCUUUGUGAUUUUGUUUUAUUUCAUUUUUCAGUCAUUGUUUGGCUUGUUACGAGUAGAGUUCGGAAGUGGAACUUAUUGUAUGUUCGUUAAUAUGGAGCUACUGGAAAUAUUUUUUUUGGAGUUGUUGAUCUUUUGUAUUUAGUUGUAAAUUGGGUUAAUUUGAGUGGUUUUAUAUUAUUAAGCAAAGACUAAGCUAAGAAUAGAAGGAAUCGUUUCACGAGUUAAUUUUGAACAUUGAAGCAAAAAAAUGAAACUUCAAGAACGGUGGUGGACUGAUGCAAUUAUGCGCUGGGAUACUACUUAUAUUUAUUUUAUGAAAGUUAGUUUGAGAUUUAUCCUUUGUUAAAGGUUUCCAAAAACAAUCAGAUUCUAAUUUUAAAGAAGUUGAUUUUGGGUUUAAAAUUGCGAAGUGGCCAGUAUCAUAUUUAGUUCAAUCCUUUGUUAUUAUAGUAAUCUUUGUCUUAUUUCGUACGUCUUGGAUGUUUACAUGUCUCGAUAUCUCAUUUUUGGUGAUCGGUAUAUUUUUGUUUUGAAUGACCGUGGGAUCGUGGGGAGUGAUAGAAAGGCCGAAGCCCUUUAGCAAUUACUUUGUUCCAUGUUUUAGGUAUCGGGCUCGGCCGGAUAGGAGAAGGGUUUAAAAGGAAAUGUUCAUGAAAUCUCGUUUAGUAAAAGUAUUCCAUAACGCAUGGCCCUCACGAGUGUUAUAAUUUAGAUAUUAAAAAUGAACUUCGUAGUUUGCUUUAGCCGCGUUAGUUAUAUAUUUAUCAUGGCUUUUAUUGAAAUCCGAGGGUGCAUUUUAUGUGACCCGGUUCUAAUUUCCAACAAGGUUAUUCUCAUUUCCAACAAGGUUAAAUAGAGUGUGUCGUGAACCACGGGUGCAUUUCAUGUGACGUGACUUGCGAUAUGUUUUAAAUAACCUUGAAUUAAUUCCUUAAAUAAGUAAAAGCGGUUUUCAAAAGUUAAAAGGCGCAUAGGUUUAAAAGUGUUUUAAAAUCAAGUAAAUAGGCCAAUAAUAACAGUUGGGCGACCGUGCUAAAACCACGGAACCCGGGAAUGCCUAACACCUUCUUCCGGGUUAACAGAUUUCCUUACCCGAAUUUCUGUGUGCGGGGACUGAAAAUAUUUCCUUGAUUCGGGAUUUAAAACUGGUGACUUAGGACACCAUAAAUUGUCCCAAGUGGCGACUCUGAUUUUUAAAUAAUAAUCCCGUUUUGGUUGUCACUUUAAGUUGGAAAAAACUCCCUUGUACCCUUCCGGAGGGUAGGAAAAGGAGGUAUGACAGCUCUGGUGACUUUGCUGGGGAUCGAACCCAGAACCUCUGGUUCAGGGUUCAGAUUCGAGCUUAGAAUAACUGUUAUAGUUGGCUUUUAUUUAUUAUCUGAUUUUUAUAUGUUUGAGCCUAAUGUGCUAAUUGGUGUUUUUUACCACUUUGAUAUUUUUGGAUUGUAUAUAAACUGUUACGAAACCCCUCCUCUCUUGAGUCUUCCAAAUNNNNNNNNNNNNNNNNNNNAAAAUGAGAAAAAAAGAGGGUGAAGUGUGAAAAUGAAGCAAGUAGGGCCCAGUUAUUAUUUUCUUUGACACUUUUUCAAGAAAGAAAAAACCAAAAAAAUGAAAUGAAAAUAUCUAAAAAGAUUUUGCAUUUUCCCCGUCAUUUUUUUAAAAAAAUCAAUCAAAAAAAAAGGAAAAAAAGAAAAUCCAAAAAAGAUUUUACAUGUUUCAUCAUUUUUCAAGAAAAGGCAAAAAAAAAUAUUUUCUCUUAGUUAUUUGUUAAUUUUAUUUCUCGCCCGUAUCCAAUCUGCCCGAACUACGCAUACCUGAUUCUCGUCUUUCGGGGCGUGAUACGUAGGCAACCCACAUAGGGUCCGGUCUUCCUAGUGAGUUUAGGUUCUUGGAUUCGCGGGGUCAUGCCAAAUCUUGUAUUUAUAGCCACGUAGAUUAAUUUUAGAAAAAUAGUCACAACCAUGUCUUGCAUGUGUCUAGUAGGGGAUCUUAUUGUCUCACACAGUGUUGGUUUGAGUUUUUUCAUAGAGGUGUGGACUUACUUACCGGAGUUUGAGCAUGACAGAGCCCUAGGACCUUCUAGUUAGGAUCGCUCAUUUAGGAAUGGAUUAAAAGGAGAUUUUCUUUUCUUUUUUAUGUUUUGAGUCUGUUUUUUUAUGUCGUCUUUUACCUUCUAGUUUUGUAUUGUAAUGUCGAGUUUUUUAUUAUUAUUGUACUUUCUAUUUUGCAUUUGAAAAAGCGUGUUAUAAAUCAAAAAUCCAAAAAAAAAAAAUUUGCGUUUUAUAUUUCCGCUAAAAGUUUUCAUUAGAAUACUAAUUCUAGAAAUGAAAAAAAAAUUCAUUUGAGGUGGUUUUCCUUAGGAAAUUAAUAUCUAGAGCUCAAAAUAAAAUAAUAAUUGUUUUUAUAUUUCCUUUAGUAUAUUAAGACUAAAAAUUCAAAAAAAGAGAAUUUUCUUUUAGUAUCUCUUUAAAAGUUUUCUUUAAGAUAUUGAUUCCAAAAUCCAAAAAGAUUUUCGUUUGAGGUGCUUCUUUGGGAAAUUAAUGAAAAAUGAAAAAAAAAUUAUUUUCAUUAGAACUUUAGGAUAUUGUACAUAGAAGAAAAAAAAACAUAUUUUAUCUUUUGUUUAUCCUUAAAGUUUCUUUCUUAGGUAAUCAAAAACUGAAAUCCAAAAAUAUUUUUUAUCUUUUUCAUUUCUUAGUUCAAAAUCUUUCUUUCAGGAUAUCAAACAAAAAUUAAAAAUAUUUUUCUUUAGUUUAUUUUUUAGAUUUCUUUCCAAAAAAAAGAAUCAAAAAAUAUUUUUCUAUUCUAGGGUUUUUUCCUUAAUAAUUUCCCAUAGAGUGUUUGUUACAAAAAGAAACAAAAAAAAACAUGCCCGUUAAGCUUGAGUUUAAAAUAGGUUAUAGAACAUUAAGUCUAGAAAAUUCAAAAAAACAAAGAUUUGCUUCUCUUAUUUCUCUUUUCUCAUCAGAGUAGUCAUUAAGGUAAAAAAGAAAAGAAAAAGAGAAUGUCAGUUUGUUUACUUAAUUUAUUCCCGAUCUUCCCGAACUACGCAAAGAUCUGAUUCAUGCGGUGUCAUGAUAUGUAGGCAACCUACAUAGGGUUCGAUCGAAUCAUUUUUUUUAUUAAAAGAAAAAAAAGAGUUUAAAUUAUGGGAUAUGAGAAAUGAGAGGAAAGAAAAGGGUGUUAAUUAGAACAAAAAAGGAAGGAAAAUGAGCAAGCCAAGAAGUACUAGAAAAGAAAAGAUAGAAAAGAUUGAAAUGAACAAAAUUGGGAUGAUGCCAAGUGACCUUGUGACCUUAGAAGUCAUUCUAGAAUCGUUAAUUGUUGUUAGGUGCAUUGCACACAAUGUGAUAUUUUUAGUUGUUAAAUGCCCUAAUGCUAACAGGAUGUCCCCAUUUUGUUCCUUUUGUUAUCUUCAUUGAGCAGAAAGGUGGUUGGUUUGUGGUUCUUAAAGUGAUAACUCUUCUCUACAACAUAAGGUCGAAAGGCAAUGACAGACAGCAACAAAAUUGAGUUGGUUGAUACGGGUACCCAAAAGCAAUUGGUUGAACAGGACAAUAGGUCGGUUGAAGAGGUGAGAAUGUUAAGACAACACAUGACGGACAUGUAUCAGGCCUGGAUGACUGGGAAGGCACCACCCCCGCCACCACCUACCUUCCUAAAUGCUACCCUUACCCAAACUCCGGCCAUAGUACCAAAUGAUCCCUCAUACUCUCCAGAUACACCCGCAUAUCACAACUUUCCCAACCACCCUAGUAGCUCCGUCACUCAUCCUCCAAUUACCUCUCCCCAAAAUUGCCCUCCUAUUAUAUCCACUACCCCCAUGAUCACAACUUCUCAACAAUCUUUCCUUCAUAGAUCCAACAAUGAGCACCUACUCAAAGCUCAUGAUGCCCAAUAUUACCCCUCAGAGGUUGCCCACAAGAUUCUUGACUCAUACAAGCAGAGCUCUCGGGAUGAGCCUCAUGUUGAAAAUGAAAAGUUCACAGGAAAAGAAGGGCGAGAUGAGAUGUCCAGGAAGCUGAAAAGCAUAGAACGAUCCUUAAAGAACAUGCAAGGGAUGGGAGACCAAGUUAAUAUGUCUUACAAAGAAUUGUGUAUGUUCCCUGACAUUCGCCUGCCUGCGGGGUUUAAAGUGCUAAAGUUUAACUUGUAUGAUGGAUGUGGAGACCCCGUAGCCCAUUUGAGGGUUUGUUGCAGUGAAAUGAGAAGUGUUAGCGAGAAAGAUGAUUUGUUGAUGGCGUAUUUCAAUAAGAGCUUGACUCGAGUAGCUUUGGAAUUGCAUAAUCGUCAAGAUAUCGGUAAGUGGCGUACAUUAGGUGACAUGGCUCAAGAUUUUGUUCGACACUUUCAAUACAAAUUAGGCAUUACCCCAGACCUCUCCUCCCUAUCUAAAAUGGAAAAGAAGCCGGAGGAAAGCUUUAGGGAGUUUGGGCUCAGAUAGAGGGAGCAAGCUGCUCGAGUCAGCCCCCCGAUUGGUGAAGAAGAAAUGGUUGAGAUUUUCCUACAAGCUCAGGGGCCCACCUACUUCAGUCAUUUGAUUCCGACCUUGGAUAAACAUUUCAAUGAUGUGGUAAAAAUGGGGAGAUGGUAGAAGAGAGAAUCAAGUCAAGCAAAAUCAUGAGUUAUUCGGCAUUGAAAGAUACUACGGAAGACAUUCAGAACAUCCUAGUAAGUUCGGGUGGAAGAAUGAGAAAUAGAAAAGAUGAUCCGCUGGACAUUCCUACUCAACGCUUUCAGCCUCGACAUUGACCCCAUGGAUAUCCUCGUGCACCAGAUGAUCCUCCCCAAUGCUACUUCUCUCCACAGAACCCCAAAGUCAUACAUCACUUUCCCAGUACCCUAUCCACAAUGCACCACCAUAUGCUCCACACCCACGAGGCCCGUGAUGGCCAGCACCACUUCCCUAAAUGUCUUACCCGCCUCCUCAAGCAUAUCAACCACCUGCCCGCAAAAGGUUCCAACCGAGGCCAGAAUACAAACUGAAAAGACUACUGAAAAAUGAAAAGGCUUUAUCCUCUAUUGGAGAAUCAUAUGCCAGUUUGUUCCAAAGGUUGAGGCAAUUGGACAUGUUGAAGCCGAUUUAGAUAAAAAUGCCAAACCCUCUGCCAAAGAAGUUUGAUUUUUCUCAAAGGUGUGCAUACUGCUCCGAUGCCCCGGGUCAUAGUACAAACAAAUGUUGGCACCUGAAAAAUGCAAUUCAAUAGCUUAUUGAUGCAGGUGACAUUGUUGUGCAAAAUCCAGAUGCAGUAGACACUAGCCAAAGUCCAUCGCAUGUUCAUAAUGAGAUGCAUAUAGUGGAUAUGAUUUGUUUUGAAAAGGAAUAUGAAAAUUCUUCUGAGAUCCUCGGAGGUCUACGUGCUGCGAAACUUUCAGCGCUAUCAGAGUGUGAUCUUAAGAAUGAGCUGGCAAAAAGGACCCAAACGCAAUUUGCUAAAGUCAAUGUGAUGGAGACUUGUGAAGGUCCUAGUAAUGUUGAUGCGAAACUCAGUGGCUAAGAUGUCGUGUUUGGUAAUUGGAAAAACGCUCCAUUCUUGGUUGGCUCAGGAAGGAGUUGUGGUGGUUUAUUUUGUUUUCAUUUUUGUUGUCCGGGUUAUUUUCAGGGUUGUAGUUCGGAUAUUGUCUUGUGACUCAAACCCUUCUAUCCUUUUAUUUUGCCUAAUUUUGUUUAGUCGUAGUGGCUCAUUUAGUGUUGUCUGGUUUUGUUUAGGGUUGUACUCCAGUUUAUUUUUCUUGUCUUGUUGUUCAAACCCUUCUCACCAUCGGUCUAAUGCAAUUUCCUAUUUUCUGUUAUUUUUGACCAUUUUUUUAGUUCUCUUAUCUUUUAUAGUUUUUCUUCUCAUGCUGGAUCUAAUGACAUGACAUGCAGGCAUAAUUCUAGGCUUGGUUCUAAAGUUAGUUUAAUCAUGAAGCAAUGAGACAAUUUUAAAGAUGCUAGGGACAUUUGAGGGAAAUAAGUACAGAUUUUGACAUUUUAAGAUCAUUUGAAGCCCAAACCAUGUGAAACUAGGGCAGAUAAUUUGGAAAGUUAAUAGGGUGACAAGAAUUCGUUAAAGGAGAGUGCAUCCCAGACAGUUUGAAACAAGCAACUUUGAGUUCAAGUGCAUCUCAAGUUACAAGAUAAAGUAAAUAAAGUUGUCUCCAAAUUGACGGAGGAUAUCUAUUGUGAAGAGAGAAUCACCCAACGAGGGUUCUGUACUUGACAAGGCACUAAAAAAAAAGUGGAAAUCAUAUCAUUGAUAUCAAUGUCAAAGCUGUAAAAGAAACAUUGUGCGUGCUAUUCCUUUUUCAUUUCAAGUUUCAUAUAUUGUGCUUGGCAUUUUCAGGGAUUGGGAGACCCUCUUUCAGCUACCCAAACACUUAUACCAUUUGAUACUCUCUUGAGCCUAUACUAGUUUCUUUGACCUCCCCUCUUUUGGAAUUAAGUUAGAGUCAUAAAAAAUAAAAAUAAAAAGUUCAUGCCCCCAUAGGUUUAUUUUAGAAAGUUCAUUCCAAAAGGAAAAUUAAAAAAAAAUAGAGAUUAAAAAAAAAGAAAAAAAGAAAGAAAAGAAAAAGAAAAAAAGAAAAAGAAAAGAAAAAGNNNNNNNNNNNNNNCACAAGAUNCGUAGGCAGCCUUACGGUUCGGUCAUACCAAAUAAAAUAUUUCAUAAUCCAUUAUUUUAGAUUAUGAUAUCAAAUUCCAUUUCAAAAAAAAGAAAAACAAAGAAAAAAGAGAAUCAAAUUCCAUUAUUUUAGAAAUUUGGGCAAAGUUUUUAGAAUGAAUUCCAAAAGUUGUAAAUAAUUUAACCCCGUUGUCAUAGUUAUUUUUGAGUCUUUAUGAUAUCCUUUCUUUCUAAUCCUGUCCAAAAGCCACAUUACAGUCCAAACAAAAUCUCCCAGAUAAUCUUUGAGAGUGCUGAGUUAGCCAUGUCAGGAGCUUAUGAUGUUUUUACUGUGGUCAAUGCCUUGUCAUCUACAGAAAAGAGAGAAAAAAAAAGAAAAAUGAGAGAGUCUUAUCGGUGAAAACCUUCACAGGCACCAUAAGGCGACGGUGAGUCGAGAGAAAUAACAAAAUGAGAGUGGCUUGAUAGUGAAAACCCUUUGGGCACUACAAGUCGAAUAAGGAUCGAGAAUUGGAUUAGAUAAUCGGAGCAUUGAAACCCAGUUUCACGGCUUAGGGGAUAUAACAAGAGUUGAACAUCAGACUUGCUUGACAGAUUAGGCCACUCAAUCCAAAGGUGCAUGUCAUGGUCAUUAGAGUUGGGAUCCACAUCUGAUAGGUUUCUACUUGUAGUUUUUUGUUAGGAAUCAUCCCUUUCCAUUGUCCUUUACUCUGGUCAUUUUGUCUUGUUUACUUCCUUUUCCUGAGUCUGUUUGGCUAGAACAAGUGAGAAAUGACUAUAAAACUUGCCACCCGCUUUCCAAUUGCACAAAACGGGAUCUGGCUAGCACAUCAAAGUGUCAUAAUUCAGGAAAGAACAACAAGUGCAAUGAGUUGGUUACAAUCAACGUGCUUUGAGAUUCAUGUGAAAUACAAAGGAUCGGUAUAUGUCAAUUCAUGAACAAUGCAACAAAUUGAGGGUGUUGGGUUGGAACAAAUCAAAGGUAUUUUCUGUGAUAAGAUUGACAAAGAAAGUGGUUAACCAGUGACAAGCAAGGUCUUCCAAGCGGAAAUCAAAGUUAUCAUGGCAAGUGAAGGAGCAAUAGACCUCAAGGCCAAGGCCAGUGUUUUAAGUCAGGAAAGAACAACAUGCGCACUGAGUGGAUGGAAAUUGAUGUGCUUUGGGAUUCAUGUGAAACACAAAGGUUCAGUACAUGUCAAUGCAAAAGCACAAUGCAACAGAUGAAUGGUAUUGGGUUUGAACGGAUCAGAGGUAUUUUCCGUGAUUAGGGUGACAGAGAAAAUAGUUAGUCAAUAAACAAGCAAGGUCUUUCGAGUGGAAAUCAAAGUUAUCAUGGUCAGUAAAGGAGCAAUCGCCCUCAAAGUCAAGGCCACAAACCAACCACCAUAUUUAUAAACUCACAAGUUCUUUUUGUUUGAAACAGGGACGAAAAUUGUGUCCAAAUCAAAGCUUUGAAAUUUGAAUUUGUUCAAGUAUCGUGCCCAAAUUUUGUCAGCACAAAGUCAAUUUAAGAAGGGGAAAGAAAAUUUAUUCGAUCUACAGGAACCAUCCAUGAGGAAAAGCUUGGUUUAGGGGUAAGGAAUUUUGUUCAGUCUACGGAGAUCCUCCAGGAAGAGAGUGCGGCUCAGCUAAGUUCAUUCUCGGCUUUUCAGGACCCUCCUGGAUAAUGGGAUUAGUCUAAAGUUCUCAGGACCUUCUUGGAUAAUGGGAUCUAAUUUUAAGUUUUUAAGACUUUCAUAGAUAAUAAGAUUUAGCAUAAGUUUUACCUUUAGGAAAUAGAAUUUAGCCUUAAAGUUGUCACUUUUAAGAUGAGAUUUAAUUUUAGAUUUUCAGGACCCUCCAAGAUAAUGGGAUUUAGCUUUUAAAUUCUUAGAGCUUUUGGAUACUAUGAUUCGAUUAACACUCACAGAUGUUCCCGAUAUCAAACUGGGGCAGAAAAAAAAAUUGUUUGUUUUGUUGUAAUCAGGUUCACAGGCAGCAGUUUCAGAGGAGUCAGUUCAAGUGUUGGAAAUCAGGCGCCCACCUGGAGAACAGAGGGAAAGCAGCAAGGUUCAAAGGAGUUCAGUAAUCAGGAGCCCACCUGAAGAACAAAGGGAGGUAGUUCAAGUUUUGAGGAAAAGCAGUGCAAGUGUGGUAAUCAGGAGCCCACCUGGAGAACGAAGGGAAGCAACAAUGUUUAAAGGAAGACGGCAAUCAGGAGCCCACCUAAAGAACGAAGGGAAGUAGCGAUGUUCAAAGGAAUACAACAAUCAGGAGCCCACCUGGAGAACGAAGGGAAGCAUCGAGGUUCAAAAGAGUUCAGCAAUUAGGAGCCCACUUGAAGAACAAAGGGAAGUAGUUAAAGUUUCGAGNNNNNNNNNNNNNNNNNNNNNNNNNNNNNNNNNNNNNNNNNNNNNNNNNNNNNNNNNNNNNNNNNNNNNNNNNNNNNNNNNNNNNNNNNNNNNNNNNNNNNNNNNNNNNNNNNNNNNNNNNNNNNNNNNNNNNNNNNNNNNNNNNNNNNNNNNNNNNNNNNNNNNNNNNNNNNNNNNNNNNNNNNNNNNNNNNNNNNNNNNNNNNNNNNNNNNNNNNNNNNNNNNNNNNNNNNNNNNNNNNNNNNNNNNNNNNNNNNNNNNNNNNNNNNNNNNNNNNNNNNNNNNNNNNNNNNNNNNNNNNNNNNNNNNNNNNNNNNNNNNNNNNNNNNNNNNNNNNNNNNNNNNNNNNNNNNNNNNNNNNNNNNNNNNNNNNNNNNNNNNNNNNNNNNNNNNNNNNNNNNNNNNNNNNNNNNNNNNNNNNNNNNNNNNNNNNNNNNNNNNNNNNNNNNNNNNNNNNNNNNNNNNNNNNNNNNNNNNNNNNNNNNNNNNNNNNNNNNNNNNNNNNNNNNNNNNNNNNNNNNNNNNNNNNNNNNNNNNNNNNNNNNNNNNNNNNNNNNNNNNNNNNNNNNNNNNNNNNNNNNNNNNNNNNNNNNNNNNNNNNNNNNNNNNNCUGAAGAACAAAGGGAAGCAGCAAUGUUCAAAGGAAGAAAGCAAUCAGGAGCCCACCUGGAGAACAAUGGGAAGUAGCGAGGUUCAAAGGAGUUCAGCAAUCAGGAGCCCACCUGAAGAACAAAGGGAAGUAGUUCAAGUUUCGAGGAAAAGCAGCGCAAGUGUUGGUAAUCAGGAGGCCACCUGGAGAACGAAGGGAAGUAGCAAUGUUCAAAGGAAGAUAGCAAUCAGGAGCCCGCCUGGAGAACAAAGGGAAGCAGCAAGGUUCAAAGGAAGUUCGGCAAUCAGGAGCCCACCUGGAGAACAAAGGGAGAACAAGGAAAGUUUUGGAGGAAAGGAAGAUAAUUCAAAUGCUUGAAAUCAUGAGCCCACCCAGAGAACAAAGGGAAGGAAACAGUGGUCAAAGGAAGACGGUUCAAGUUCAGAAAUCAGGCGCCUAUCUGGAGAAUAAGAGAAUUCACUUCAGAAUACAAUUCAGGUUAGCAACAAAAGAAGCUCGCGGCAAGAAUGCGAGUCAACAGUCCGAGGUGAUCAACAGAAGUUAGUCACAAUAAAGGAAAAAAGAGAAAGGCAAGAAGUCAAUCCAAAUGCAGAAGUUGAUGAAAGACGUGGGCUGCUCAAGACAUGGCCGAGGUCACAAGCACUGUAUGUCUGGUCUUGAUUCGAAAAGCUGAAGAAGGAUGAACUAGCACCUGCAACUAGCAAGCGUACAGGUUCAAAUCUAAGGUCUGCAUGAAGAACCACUCAAGACUCAAGGUCAAGCUUCAGAAGACUUAUAGAUAUGAAUCUUGUAACCCGUAGUUGAUAGGCUUAGCUAGUCUUUUUCAUGUUUUGAUUUUUUAUGUAACAUUAGGACCGUGGACCGGAACCUCAGCGGAAUGACACCUCGACUGGCUCUCCACCUCGGCAUACUUCAUCAUCUCACUCACUUCUGAAUUACACGUGACCUAAUUCCUUUAUAGCCAAGGAUAUAUAGGCAGCUUGGAUACAAGGGCUCGGUCACAUCCCCCUCUUCUCUUAGUUUUGGUCUCCUUAAAUAAGGGUCAGAUCAAACACCUGUCUAGCCGUUCUUUUUCUGAAAACUCUUCGUGUUUCCAGUCAAUGAGGGGCAGCUGUAGACAUGUGAUUGUUUACCCUCCCCAAGAUUUUACAUAUUUUAGCAUGUAAAUAUUUAAUUUAGCCUAAUAUAGCUAUUUCAACUCAUUUUUACUCUUUUACUUUUAUUUUAUUACAAGAAAACGAAAAUUACAGAAAAUAGAUUCAUUAAUAUUUUGUAGUCAUUUUUAAUCCUGAAAAUACCAAAAAAUAGUUUUGUUUUAACAGUUAGUCUUAUUUUAAUAAUUAUUUUUACUUAAGUAGGGCUAAUUAAUAUUUUUAAUACGGAUAUAUUUUUAGUUAAUUAAGCUAAUUUAAGCAUAGCUAGUCAUAAAGGCCCAAGUUUUUAGCCCCUUCCUUAAGCCCAAUACUCAAUACCCAUUAAGUUAAUCCUAGGGACCCUUCUAGACUCUUCUUUGGAAUAAAAAUAAAUAAAAAGAUCCUAAGGACCUAAGAGCAAAUACACAAAAUAUAAACAUAGACUCUAGGACCUAGAUAUAUAGUCUAACGCCUAAUGAGCUGAAGGACAGAUAUAUGAGGAACGCCUAAAAAUCUAAAGAAAAGAUACACUCUGCAAAAGCUGCAACGUCGUACAUAUACAGACCCACCCCCUCUUGUCAUUGUCUUCUUCCACGCCAACCACCCCAAAGGACCCAUCGUUUCUUCUUCUUCUGAAUCAGAGAAUCAAGACCUCCAUUAGAAAACACCAUCGAAGACCUCUUGAUCUUCAGCUUCUUCUGCAGCAGCACAAACCAAAAGCAAUGACCCCUAAGUUGUUCCUCUUCUGUCUCGAAGCAGCAGGACCUGCAACCUUCCAACGAUCCCUCCCCACCAUGAACUGAUCUUCCUCAGUCGCUGAACACCCAGAAACACCUCCUCCAUCGACGCUCCUCUUCUUCAACUUCAUAGAGUCCAUUUUGAAGUCCGUUCGUUGAGUUGUUCGGGGUCGAGCGCUAGAGACGUUUGAGGUCGUCGGGUCCCUGUUCCGUUUGUGGUCAUUUUCUGGUGCAUUUCUGGUCCCUUACUCUAUUUUGGUGUGGUUAAAAGUAUAAUAAGAGUAGUAGAGGUUGAAUUCCGGGAACUGAGUUGGUAGUUGUAAGAGAUUUUGUGUUUUUGCUUAUCGUGUGAUGCACUAUUCUGUCGAAGGGUGUUCUAAAUUUGGUGUUUGUCGAUUUUUCUAUAGAAUUUGCUAGUGUUCAAGUUGUCGCAAAUCUGUUAACCAUGAAAUUCACAUCUCUGAUUCGUUGAAAUGUUUGAGCUGCUGCAGUUUUGUCUCAAAUUCUCGAUUACUGUCAAUAUGUGUCCAAUUUCCCUUUGUGAUUUUGUUUUGUUUCAUUUUUCAGUCAUUCUUUGGCUUGUUACGAGUAGAGUUUGGAUGCGGAACUUAUUGUCUGUUCGUUAAUAUGGAGCUACUGGAAAUAUUUUCUUUUGGAGUUGUUGAUCUUUUGUAUUUAGUUGUAAAUUUGGUUAAUUUGAGUAGUUUUAGAUUGUUAAGCAAAUACUAAGCUAAGAAUAGAAGGAAUUGUUUCACGAGUUAAUUUUGAACAUUGAAGCAAAAAAAUGAAACUUCAGGAACGGUGGUGGACUGAUGUAAUUAUG